Molecule: ribosomal RNA, 253 nt
Filed under: uncultured bacterium
Lineage: Bacteria
Description: partial 16S ribosomal RNA
Rfam family: Bacterial small subunit ribosomal RNA
Source: RNAcentral
UCCGUAGGUGGCGAGCGUUAUCCGGAUUUACUGGGCGUAAAGGGUGUGCAGGCUGCCCCUCAAGUGGUGUCUGAAAGGGCUCGGCUCAACCGGGCUAGGUUAUGCCAGACUGAGGGGCUAGAGAGCGAGAGCGGGACGUGGAAUUCCGGGUGUAGUGGUGAAAUGCGUAGAGAUCCGGAGGAACCCCAGAGGCGAAGGCGGCGUCCUGGCUCGCAUCUGACGCUCAGACACGACAGCAUGGGGAGCGAACGGG